Molecule: long non-coding RNA, 12235 nt
Organism: Mus musculus (house mouse)
Lineage: Eukaryota; Metazoa; Chordata; Mammalia; Rodentia; Muridae
Product: predicted gene, 51436
Exons: 2
Source: RefSeq, a predicted model, not a curated record
GGGUCCCCCUGGCCCCUCCUUCUCGUGCUCUCUCCAAAUUUGUCUUUUAGAGGCCUUGUGACCACCCUAGGAGGCGCUCUGUAUGACAGAAGAGUCAUUGACAUUUUUAUGGCACCCUGAAAAAAAUUACACUACAAAUUCAUAUAACACAGCCCCUUGGAAGACCUGAUAAAGAACUAUCCCCCCCCCCCCCCCCCGUGCGUGUGUUUGUGUAUGAGUUUGAUAAAAAAAAAGUACUUUGGUAGCUCUUGAGCCAUAAAGCUUUGUGACUUGACUUCCCCAGCUUUCUCUCUGCCCUGCAUAAAUGCAGCAGGGUUCAGAUUCAGGUUUCUGGUUAUAUUGGAGCAUGGAUCGCUUUUGUUUUUAACAGUGGAGGAGGAGACAGCAGUAGACCCCAAGUUCUUGGAGUUUCCUAAAUUUGUAGUAAGCUUCUUAAAAGUAGUUUGCUGUCUUGGAAAAGCUGAGAAUCCUGUUUAUCUUUGUUUAGAACUCUAUUUGAAGUCACCUGGGUGGUUCAUAAAAACAAAAUGAGCACCGGCUCUUCUUACACACAUUAUCUAAAGACUCUUGCACUUAUGGUCAGAGGUUUAGUUUAUUCUGUGUAGGCUUCUAUAGCGAGGAUGCACCUGAGUUAAAGGUAUAAAUCAUUGCUGGUGAGGUGGCAACCACUUGAUGGGAACUUUAUGGCCUUAGGACAAAUUAUGAAACCUAAUCCGACUAUGUUUUGUUUUCUAGCCCAGGCUAUCCUAGAACUCACUGAGUAGCUCAGGCUGACCCUAGACUGGCAGUGAUUCUCCUGCCUCAACCUCCCUUAGUGCUGUAUUACAAACAUGAAUCCCCAUGCCCAGCUUUGACUUUCCAGAAAAAAGACUGAAUGGGUUUCCCACAUUCAGUGAUUGCACAUUAGAGUUCAUACCUGAGAUUCCCAGGUAUGCACCCGUCAACUGAAAGGAAACUGCAUGUAUUGAGAGAUAGCAGUAAGUUUGGCCUCAGCCUUUCUCAGCUUUUAUUGUUUCAUGUUGUGAAAUAUGAACAUAAACUUUGAUCAGCCUUAUAAUAGAUCAGCUGUACCAAGGCUUGGAAAUAUGAUGGAGGAUUAGGAGCAUGUAUAGUUUUAAUUCUGGUGGUGUGAUCUGUCUCUGGCACAACCUGCAUCUUUUCUUGUCUACAUAGUAUGUGACAACUGCUAUUCUAGGCUCUCUCCAGGUAUCUUCCAUUCUUCAGCUGGUACACAUGACUUCCAAUAGUUGUUGCCUACAACAGAUGAGAAGACUAUGCUGGUAGUCUGCUGUCCUGUCUUAGGCGUCUGCUGACCUUGGCUAAGGUGUCUUGUUCUUUCUGCACCUUAAUUUGUUUGCAAAGUGAGGAAAGUAUUGGGCCUGGCCUGUUAGGCUACUGGGAUUACAUGUGAUAUAUAUGUAAGAGUCUGACUUGCAUUUCAGUGUUUAUCUACUGUUUGCUCUUUAUGUUGUAAUCACCUAUGGUCGUCUCGGAAGUAAAUAAGUGGUAGAGCCAGACUUUGACCUAUGGCUUAGACAGAGCCUCAGCCUGUGGCCCUCUCUGUUUCUUCAUGGAAUAUUUAUUAGCUAGUAAAGUCAUGGAUAUUGAGGAAGAUAUAUACUGAUUACAACUUUUUCCUUUCCUAAUGUCUCGUAUAUAUUAAAUUCAUAAGAAGUACUAUACUACUGCAAAUAGUUUGAGGUUACUCAGUUUGUAGUUGAGUUUAACAGGGGUCAGGAGCCUUUCAUUUUGGCAUUACUGGAUCAGGAGAAAAAAAUAAAAAAUUCUAUUACAGGAGGAUAUUGUUACCAUUUUAGAUAGAAGAAAACAAAGCCUCAUUUAUUUAUCUUGGAACUUUUAGAGUCACCUGCCGAGGCAGAACUGCAGUUGCAACAUGUAAUCAGCUGAUGCAGUGUGUGUUUCUAUACAGUUCUCAAACACAAACAGGCAGGAUAGGUCAGGAAGCCACUGGAUAUGGUCUGUUGAUUCACAUCCUCCUCGGCUGUCUUCUCGCAGGAGAGGCCCUUUCAACCUCAGCAGUUGGCUGUGCUUGCUCAGGAUCUGUGAGACGAGAAAGCACAGUGUAGGGUGAAGUUGGCUUUAACCUGAUUUCUCCCUUUCGCCUUCUAGACCGUCAUUGUGCCUCCACCCUCAAGGCUUCCUGCCGAUCAUACCUAGCCAAGCAUACUUUUUGGUCUUCUACUUUUCUCCUUAUUGAGUCUUUUAAAGUACUGCCCCCCUCCUGUUGAGACUAACUUCUCAUUUUCUCAAUGACCAUGAAUAUAAUUAGCGCAAAGAGAAACUUAGGUAUAAAAGUCAGACAAAGCACAGGUUUUGAAAAAAUAGUCUUUGCUUGGUUCCUGCUACGUGACAUCUAUGCUUCCUCAUUUGUAGGUGCUGUAGAGUCAUGCGUAUCUACUAAGCUACUGCUUUGAAGGCAUUAUUUUUCCUUGCCCAUCCUAUUGUUGGUGCAGAAGCCAGUUGUAAAAGUUGAGUAUAUGGAAAAUGAAAAAGGGCUCCCUUUGCUUCUAAUUAUUAACCAUAAUUCUUUAAUUCUCUCUUGUAUGCUAGAAAGAGAUUAGCAAGCUCACACACAACAUUUGAUACUCUCAAAAUAGAAAAUAUCACUACAUAGUAUUGAUCCUUGAGCUAUAAGAAACAAAAUUCUUCAAGUGUGUUUCUCUCUCCCAUCAUUUCUUCUGGGGAACAGGUAAAACCUCUCCCUCUCUGCAGGGCCAUUGGCGAAACCCUGUAUCUGCAGGAAACCCUGUAUCUGCAGGAAACCCUGUAUCUGCAGGAAACCCUGUAUCUGCAGGAAACCCUGUAUCUGCAGGUCUCGUUGCAUGUUGUCCUGAUCUCGGGACUUAGAGUUUGCGUCUUGCUGAGGACGGUUCCUAACUGGACACAUUUGAGAUGGCUUGUAUGCUUUUCUUACUAGAGUAUUCAUGGUAGCCUAAAUUAGGCUGUAGUGAUAACUUCUAGUUUUCGGUGGCCCAAAAGGGAAGUUUUAUUCUGCUUGGUAUGGGUUGUGUCAAACUUAGCUUUGGGGAAGGACCCACUGCCGUAUGUUGUUUUGACUCUGGAAUUUGGGCUGGCAGAGCCAUUGCUUUGCACUUGGUUGCUGUCAGUAAGGAACUGCAUUUUCUGCUUUAAAGUGUCGCUUGUAGUGAUCUCGAUUUUUCCUAGCCUGAGCAAGCUACACGGUCAUGGGCAUGAGCAAGUUGCCUGUCGUAUUCUGUGAGUUCACAUACCCUCCUUUGACUUCAGUUUUAAAGGAAAGGAACUAGAUGACUGAGUUCACCAUGUUGUGUGAUUCUAAACUAGAGUUCACAUUGAGAUCCCCAGACACUCAGCCUUUCAACUUUUACCAUUUUGCAGUUAUGUACGAUGAACAUAAAUUUUGACCAACUUUACAAUAAUUUACAAUAAUUUAAAAUUUAAAAAAUUUACAAUAAUAAAUUUGUUCCAAGACUUUAAGAAAUGACUGGGUUCAAAUACAUGACCAAGUUGCGUUGCCUUGAGCUUGGUUGCUCAGAACAGUGAGUUAAUUCUGGACUUUGACGGGUCCUUUGUAGCGGAUCUCACCUUUUCCUGGCCUGACCCCACAGCAUGAUGAUGGUGUGGCAGUAGGAGAGAGUAGAGCAGCUAGCAUAGACUUAAUGCCUCUGGUACUUGGCAUGCUGUCCACACACCAAGUGUUAAUCAAGCCCGAGUCCUGUGAGCAUUGCCUCCUGACAGACACUUCAGUCUAGCCUACUACCUCUGCUGUGAUUCAGGAACCUUUACCAAAUGUCCCUGCUUUUUGCUUCAGGCUAACAUUCUCCCAUCUUUAUCGAAAAGUGAACUCUGCAAUACAAAUAUGAUUUGAUUAUUUCCCUUUGUGAAUCCUCAGUUUCCAGGUAAAAGGAGCUCUAGACCAGUAAAGAAGGACUGUUGGUACUGAGUACAGGAGAGACAGUUCUUAAAGACUACCCUCUUCUAGAAGAAAGACUUUGAUCAGUCCAUUCAGACCAUCGCACCCUGCACCUUACACCAUUCUUGUGAUAGCUGCUCUGUGAGGUCCUCCUUAAAAACUGCAUUUUAAAGUUACUUCCAAUAAAAUGGUAGUCUUGAUCUCAAAGGCCUACAUGAUUGUGGUUUGUAUGGGUAAUGGAAUUCAUAAUAGUCUUUCCAAUCCACACAGGUCUGACAUAAGGCUGUGCCACAGGAGUUCCUAAAAGACUAUUUUACUUUGGUCAAAGGAAAAUAAUAUAAAGUCAAAAUUUUCUGUAGAUAAUUCUCUUAAACAAGUGUACAUGGAAAAUUAAUUUUCAUUAACCUUAAAUAUUUGAAAUAUAUUUUUCGUUAACAUUAAAUAUUAAAGGAAGCAUAGUGUGCGGGGUUGUCUUACAUGUGGUGUGCCACAUCCCCAUACAGAGCAGAUUUACAUGUAGCCUGUCCUUUAAUGUUCUACUACAGCAGUUGUUUAAGACCGUAUCAAUCUUUUGUGACUUUGUUUGUUUGGUUGUUUGGUUUGGUUUUUUGAGACAGGGUUUCUCUGUGUAGCCCUGGCUGUCCUGGAACUCACUCUGUAGACCAGGCUGGCCUCAAACUCAGAAAUUCUCCUACCUCCUCUGCCUCCCAAGUGCUGGGAUUAAAGGUGUGCACCACCACGCCCGGCAGUAUCAAUCUUUUAUAAAGGACAAAUAUCACAAUCUUAAAUCAGACUUAGCAUAACAUUUACUUAGUUAUCUUGAAGAAGUUGUACUUUUUUGAUAUACACUUUGUGUUGUAAAACAUAUCUUAAUAAUAUCUACUACAAAGCCAUUAUACAUUAUGGUUUGCUCAUUAUUUACUAUUUCUUCCUGUUCUCUAUAUUUCAAAAGCAGGACAUGGUGCUCACUUUUUAAAAGUUUAAUAGUGUCUACAUUGUCUAUAUGAAAUACUGGGCACCAGUCUCUCAUGUACACAUUGCUUAUUUAAUGCUCAUAUCUGUUAUAGUCUUCAUCUUACAGUUAAGACUGUUGGAGCGUAACUGGCUGAUAGUGGCUGGUUCCGUGGAGGUGCAAGAAGAACUGGCUCUCUCAGAGGUGGCUAUCCUUCCAAACCCUGGCUAGUAAGCAUCUUGUUGGGCCUCCUUCCUGUCAGACAUUGUGCAGGACCAUGCACCGUUGAGGGAGAUAUUAGGGUCAGCAAACCAUACCCCAGUAUAGUGCCUCAUAUGCUCCCACAUGCUCUGAACCUCAGACUUUGGCAUUUGCUCAUCAUAUUAUGUUCUCUGUAGCUUUUUUCUUUUUUCUUUUUGAGAAAAGGCAGCAUAGUUCAGGUGUUGACAAAUCCUUACCUGCACAGCCUAAAAUAUUUAGUACUUCACAUUUGAUGGAAAGAGUUUGCCACUUCUGCUUUAUAGUCAGUGCAACCAAAUACCCACCAAGCCACAGCUCCUGCUGUUGCGGUUGAAGAGAGGCCCAUCCAUGCCAUCUUCUCAAGAUAGAACAAUUUCAGUGGAAGUUGUAUGCACUGAGUGUAAAGUAAAAACAAGAUAAUUAAUUAGAAAAGUACAAAGCAUGAAGCCACUCAGCCUGUGUCUCGGUUACUAAUCUGGGUCCUGACCUGUGUACUCCCCAGUGCUUCUUUACGCUUGGUUGUUUAGUGUACUCUUAGAAAGUUAGAAGCAGCCACAGAAGGACUUGGCUUGCGUGUUGGAUUGAUGGUGAGUAAGAGAUCAGGGAGCAUAGCCCAUACUGACUGGAAUACCACCAGUCAAAGAUGCCAUGGUAACUUAACACAGACAUAACUGCACAUGGCAUGCAGAACCCUUCCACAUGUCUCCCUAGGAUUUGACUUAUCCACAAGAGUUUCAUUUAAUAAUUUAAUUCACAAUUGAUCUUACAUCUAUUACAAUUAAUUUUUAAAAGUGGCCAUGUGUAAAGCCAUAAAUGUGAUCUUAGUCUUAACCUGGGGACUCUCAGGGCUUCUAGUUCUGUGUCAGCUACUGUGGUCACAAUGAAGUUCUUGAAUGACUCUGGCCUCCAGUUCUCUUACUUGUAAAUGCUCAAGAGUAGGUAAGGUCUUAGCUCAAUUUUUAAAAAGCAGGUGUUUUGAGCACUGACUUAACAUGACCUUUUAAAUUUUUCUAAAGAAUUUAGUGGGAAUGUGUUUUAUUUAAAAAGUAUUUUCAUUUCCUUGAAUUCUUGUUCUGUGCUAUGAAUACAGACAGACUGGAACAAAGAUAAUAGACUAUAAUACUUGUCCCAAGGUAAUGUAUCAAUAUAAAUACAAACUGAUUUGCUGCACAUGGCAUGCAGAACAGAGAAAUAGGGGAGAUAGUGUAUUCUGGGGGAGUUGGUAGAUAGCAUCUUAGCCACACCCUCAAACCGUCCUAUGUCACUAAAGACAGCUGGCUUUCAUUAUUUCCUUGAAGUGCUUUCUGUCUUUUCAUGCUCUGUGAUUCUCUGGUGUCUCUGCUGUAUACAUGCAUAAGUUUCACAUAUCUAUCUCUAGCUCAUAACACUAUGUGGGAUGUGAUAAUAACUCUUCCUGGACUACACAGGAAAAUCAAAGUAGUGAGGUCUGAAAGCUCUUUUAACGUCAUUUCCCUCAUGCUUUACAAAGAGAUUUCCUCACAAAGCUUGAAAAGUACACGUCAAGAAAACAAUUAGCUGUUUUUUUGCUUCUUUGCUUUGCUUUGUAGUUAACUGAUCUAUGUUUUCUUAACAGGAGUUGGUGUUAUAAGUGAUUUUUAUGACUUCUUGCUCAGUGUAGUCAUGUGCUGCACCAUGACUUUUAAUGACCAAACAGCUGUCCUUGUCUCUCUCCUUUUUCAAUUCCAGUUUAGAGCUGGACCUUAUGUGAGAAAGGUAUUGACCAAUUUUUGUUGAAUGAAUAGAAAAGGUAAACCUAUAAUUUAUGAAACUAUGUUAAAGAAUUUUCACCGUGUGUUCUAGAGGCUAUGUUUUAUCAGGUUGUACCCUUCCCCACCCCUCAGGAAGAUUCAGUGUUAGGGGUUAAUCAAAUUCUCAAAUGGACCAUUGCUCUCCAGAUUACUUGGGAACCAUUAGAAGUGGUUCCGAAUUUAGGGUUGUAGAGCUGAUGAAGUUUGAGUUAUGUGAAGGUGGAUUUUGCAUCACAUGGCCAUAUCACCUUAGUCAGUCAAAGGUCCUUUGUUCUGACACCCUCUAUCUGAUAAGAGUAGAACCUCUCCCAGCCCCCACCUCCACCCUGAGUCCUACCUUUUUUUAGUAACAAGAGUUUUCUUUGGACUAUCAAACUUAAUCAGAGUAUCUCAAUUUUAACACAGAAGUUACUGGAAAUACUUUUAGUUUCCAUUCUGUAUCCAUUUAGCAGGCAAUUAGUAGGUGCCUACUGCAUACUCACUGCUGUUCUAGAUAUUACACAUAAAUAUCUGAAUAAGUCCAAGCCUAAUGUCAAAGUCCUAAGACAGGGACAUUCUAGGGGGAACAAACAUUCUAGGUAUAUGGCGCAAAUAUUAUUGAUAGUAACUCUGUAGGUAGUUUUCUGUACGCUAGGUGAGCAUUUCUAGAUAGUUCUUUACAGGUAGACUUUUUUUUUUUUAAUCUCAGACUGAUUGUAAAUAGCAGCUGUUGUUUUCAUAUUUGCAAACAAACCAGUUUUGAGGUUGAUAUAAUUAGCUUCUAAUUAACAUAUAUUUGCAGCUAAUAUUUAUUAGGUAUUUUUUUGUAAUGGUCUAGAAGAAUAAUAAAUAAAAUUUAUUCUGGGUCAGGAACAAAUCAACUGUGGGUUCUCCAGUGCUGUCCAGUGUGAUGGGAUAAGGUCUGUCCAUCACAGCCACUGGAAGCACUUAAAUACUGUCUUUGGGUAUCAGAGUUUCCUUCAGGAAUCUUUGGGUAGUGAAUGACCGUUGCCCUAGCCAAGGGAGUGGGAAGAAGCCUGAGUAUUCUUUCCAGAAGCAAAGGAUGUGCUAGGCACUAAGCAAUUAGAUGUGGUUGGAACUCUGACCUAAAGCAUUAUGUGGUCAAAGGCUAGACUGCAGAAAUGAGAUGGAACUCACACUGAGGCAUCCAUUCCUUCUGAGAGCCACUGGCCAGAGCUUACUGAGGAUCAGGUUUGCAUUUUGCAGAGGUUUCUGUAGGGUUCAGUCCGUGUUGGAAAGGAAGACACUAAGUGGACUCUGAUGGGGUGGUGGUGCAUUUAGAAGAUGCAUUUAACAAGUUGUAGUUGAAAGAGUGAGGAGUGGGGCUGUUACUGUAGGACUGACCUGUGAGGUUCUGAUCUUGGCAGCCAAGACUGGGAACAGGACAGGCGUGGAAGCAUCUGCAGAAGAGGGAAUGACACUUAGAGAGAUUAUUUGCUUUUGGUGGUUUUGUUUGGUUUUGUUUUUUGAGACAUGAUCUCCUGUGUCAGACAUUUGUCUUGAAUUCAUUAUGUAGUGGAAGUUGGCCUUGAUCUCCUCAGAGCCUCCUGCCUUCACCUCGUAUGUGCUAGGAUUGCAGAUGCAGACCUACAGUCAGUUUAUGCCUUGGUUUGGAUGGUCCCCAUGGCUUCAUGCAUACUAUGUGAGCAUCUACUAACUGAGCUACUCCCCAGUCCUUUAAGUCAAUUGAAAUACUUUAAAAUUUCCUAAGAGUGAAAACUACCCUGGUCAGGCCAGCUUUUCUAGCAAGAUUUUGCUGAAAGGACCCUGAUGUAGCUGUCUCUUGUGAGGCUAUGCCGGGGCCUAGCAAACACAGAAGUGAUUGCUCACAGUCAUCUAUUGGAUGGAACACAGGCCCCCAAUGGAGGAGCUAGAGAAAAUACCCAAGGAGUUGAAGGGGUCUGCAACCCUAUAGGUGGAACAACAAUAUGAACUAACCAGUACCCCCCCCCCCCCCCAGCUUGUGUCUCUAGCUGCAUAUGAAUCAGAAGAUGGCCUGGUCGGCCAUCAGUGGAAAGAAAGGCCCAUUGGUCUUGCAAACUUUAUAUGCCUAAGUACACCAGGCCAAAAGAACACCAGGACCAAGAAGUAGGAGUGAGGGGGGGGAGAGUGGGGGGGCAUGGGGGACUUUUGGGAUAGUAUUGGAAAUGUAAAUGAAGAAAAUACAUAAUUAAAAAAAUAAAUUAAAAAAAAAAGAAAACUACCUACUGUAUUUGACUUCUUUCUCGCUCUUCUCUAACAUUUCUGAAGCAGUAACAGUAAGUGUAUGGAGUAUAUAUGCAGGAAAGCACAUACUAUAUCAAGAAGUAAAUAAAAAGUAGAACCUAUAGUAACUUUAAAUGCUUUCUGUCUUUAAUAAAAAUCAAGGUAGGUGUUCAUGAUUUUUCUGUAUAAUAUCUAAUAUAUUAUACUUAGAAUUUACAUAAUAUCUUGAUAGUAAUUGACUAAACAAUACCAUUGAUUCACAAAGCCUGAAGUGUAUCUAAUGUAAGGAGGUGUUUAGUUUGCCCAACCCAAUAUUAGACUCACAGAGUUACAGGUAAAAUUUGAGAUUUUGUGAACACAUUACUUUUAUGCUUUUUACUAAUUCUAUAUAGAGUUAUUCUAUGUAAUAAAUUUUAGUGUUUUAAGUUAGAAUUUGUAAAACCCUGUGUAAGAAAUGUAAACUUCAAAAAUGACUAUAUUUCUGGAGCAAAAUUCCCCAAGGAUAGUAUUUUAUGCCCCACCUCAGAAGAAUGUGAGUUCCAAGUUAUUCUUCAGGCGAGUCAUAGUAACUCUGGAGAAAUUACUAUCUAUCAUCAGUGCUGGACAAAUGGCAGCUACUACUCUUACAAAGGACCUGGUUCCCAGUGCCCACAUUGGGCAGCGUGUAGCUGCCAGUGACCCUAGCUCCAGGGACUCUCUGACCUUUUCAGGCACCUGCAUACUUGUAGUUCACGUACAUAAACUCAGACAUACAUGUACAGAUAAAAUAAUAAUGUAUACGUACACAUAAAAUAAAAAUGAGUAUUUAUUUAAAAGUAUAUAUUACCGAUGUAUAAUAUGCUUAGAUACACAUGUCUGUCAGGUGACAUUACUAAUCUCUGAAAACCUUACUAGAUAAUUUCUGUCACUGACCAUAGCAACUGUCCAACUAAAACUGAUGUUCUAGAUUAGGAUUUCCAUUGGCUCUUUGCAUCUGGAGGAUAACUGUGGUGCCAGGGUCCUAGGGUACUCUAUCUAGGUAGGUGGUAAUCCCAGUGCACUGCCCUGCGUGGAUCUUUGUCUCUGAAGAGACAAGUAAACAGACAUUUAAAAUUAUGUGUGCAAAGACUUGGGAGAGGAGGCUGGGAACUUGUGUUUGUCAAAGAUUAGAAAAAUGUAGGUUCUGACGAGGAUUAGGGCUUGUUCAAAUUCUCCUUUAAAAUAAGUUGAAAUCUUAUCUUUAGUAGUGUGAUUAAUAGCUUAGGAAGUGAUUAUGUUAUGUUCUCUCUAGCAGAGCUGUCCAGAGUGAUUAUCUGAAGUCUGUCAUUUGCUUCUCUUAGAUAGCAUCAUGGAAACAGUAGGUGAAGUGCUAUGGUACUUUCCCCCAUGAUGAGGCUGCAUCCUUUACAUUUUGAUGGACCUGACUUUAUGUUGGACGGUAGUCAUGGUAAAAAGCAACUGUCCAGUCUGUCCUGUUUCUGAAAUCUGUUAGCAUUCCCAACAGGAAUUUUUUAUGUUCUUUGCAUGUUAAUUAUGAAUUCCGUUUGGAGACAGAUCUAAGGCUGUAGACUGAAAUUUUAUAUUAGGACGUUUUGGAAUGUAAGCUCAGUAUUUUAAGAUUUAUCUUUUAAAUUAUGUGUAUGUGCCUAUCUGUACAUGCUGCUAUUUAUACAUGAGUGCCAGGUGCCUGUAGAGCCAGAGAGGGCUUUGGGUCCCCAAGCUGCCCAGUGUGGGCGAUGGCAACUAUAAUAUGGGUCCUCUGUAAGAUUAGUACAUGCUCUAAACCACUGAGUUGUUCACACACACACACACACACACACACACACACACACACUUUUUAUUCUUAUGUAUGUCUGUAUGUCCCUAUGUUCAGUGUGUAUGUGGGUGCUCUUGGGAGCCAGAAUGAGCAUCAGAUUUCCAGACACUGAAAUUACAGGAUUUGAGGAUCCACCCUGGUGUGAGACCAAGCUUCAGUCUCCUGGGAGAGCAGCAGCCACUCUUAACUUCCUCUCAAGCCUCUUCAAUAUUUAAAUAUAAUUUUGAUAAGUUGCAUGUUAACUAUAUCACAGGAUUUUUAUCACUCACUUUUUCCUUAUUUUGCCAUUGUAUACAUUUAGCAUUUUUCCCUUUUAAAGAUGAUCCUCUGCUCCUGUGAGCAAAGGCCCUGGUUCUUUUCAUUUGAGUGACUUGGUCCUCUUUACCAAGUCUGUUCUGUGUUUCAUCUUGGUUGCUUUUAUUGUCUUUAGUGUUCAAGAUUCCCUUGCAUGUGACUAAACAACCCAGAAUGUCCUGCCAAUGUCAUUAUUACGUCUGGACUUCCCCUCCCACAGUGUCCCUGUUGAUGCUUUUCCCAGAGGACCUGCCUUCAUUGCACCCAUCCAUGUCUGCUUAGCACAUGCUUCGGCUUCCAUGUCCUUCUCACUGCCUCCUUUUAUAAAGUUGCCCCCUGGCCUAGGCUCCCAUAUCUAAUUUUGAUUCUACUCUACUCUUUAGUGUUCUGCACUUCUCUUUCUCAAGGCUUCCUUUCUGUGUCUGAGGUAGUGGUAUGCUUGACCAUAUAUGUAAUUCUUUGAAGAAUCUUACUUUGUGUCUCUUUCAGCAAAUAAUCAGGGCAUCUUGCAUGGACAGUUAUGUCUCAGUGAUAAAUGAAUUACCAACUCUGUUGCUGUAAUAUUCUUUCCAACUCAACAAUGCUGCAUCUCCUGUUUGUGACUAUAGAUUAAUUUAACAAUAAUGGAAUUAUAAUCUACACGAUUAUUGAUAUAAUUGACAUAGAGCAGCUGCCUAUGGGUGGCUGAAAUCCUGGAUCUUAAAAUUAGUUUAAGAAAGUUUAAUAGAGUGGUAGCUUUCUUACAUACCGAGAAUAACUAAAUGGUGUGUGGGGAAGUCACAUUCACAAUAUAGAAGAUGACUAGAAUUCAACUAACAAAUACAUGAAUAUGGCUAAAUGGCCAAAUUUCAGUAAAAUAUGUUAAUUUUUUGAGUAAUUAUACACAUCUGGAUAAGGAUACUCAACACAUAGAUUUUUCAUCUGUACCAGAUUCAUUAUAAAAUUUAAUUUAGUUAUUUGAAUGGCAAGAUAAUCUGUAAGACUAAGUAGUGAGAAUAGAUGUAAUUCUUAACAAUAAUGAGUAUGUUUGAAGGGGGUGGGAAAUUCAUACUAAAGCCACAAGCAAA